AGCAGCCGCGGUAAUUCCAGCUCCAAUAGCGUAUAUUAAAGUUGUUGCAGUUAAAAAGCUCGUAGUUGAAUUUCGGGACUAAUAUGUCGGUCGUGCCUCGGUACGCACUGGCUUAUUGGUUUCUCCUUUCUGAAGAACCAUGAUGUCAUUUAUUUGGUGUCGUGGGGAAUCAGGACUGUUACUUUGAAAAAAUUGAGUGUUUAAAGCAGGCUCACGCUUGAAUACAUUAGCAUGGAAUAAUGAAAUAGGACGUUUGAUUCUAUUUUGUUGGUUUCUAGGAUCGACGUAAUGAUUAAUAGGGAUAGUUGGGGGCAUUAGUAUUCAAUUGUCAGAGGUGAAAUUCUUGGAUUUAUUGAAGACUAAACUACUGCGAAAAGCAUUUGCCAAGGAUGUUUUCAUUAAUCAAGAACGAAAGUUAGGGGAUCGAAGACGAUCAGAUACCGUCGUAGUCUUAACCAUAAACUAUAGCCGACUAGGGAUCGGAUGAUGUUAAUUUUUUAAUGUACUCAUUCGGCGUACC
Molecule: ribosomal RNA, 520 nt
Filed under: uncultured Glomus
Lineage: Eukaryota; Fungi; Glomeromycota; Glomeromycetes; Glomerales; Glomeraceae
Description: SSU rRNA
Rfam family: Eukaryotic small subunit ribosomal RNA
Source: RNAcentral